GGCCCAAUGGUCUAGAGGUAUGAUUCGCCCUUCGGGUUUAACCACCCUUCAGCAUAGCUUGAAUGGGCGAGGCCCCGCGUUCGAAUCGCGGUUGGGCCC
RNAcentral lists this transfer RNA (99 nucleotides) under Colletotrichum eremochloae. RNAcentral's name for it is "tRNA-Pro". Lineage: Eukaryota; Fungi; Ascomycota; Sordariomycetes; Glomerellales; Glomerellaceae. The record is from RNAcentral. RNAcentral also lists the same sequence under 1 other name.